GACGAACGCUGGCGGCGUGCUUAACACAUGCAAGUCGAACGCUGAAGCUUGGUGUUUGCGCUGGGUUGAUGAGUGGAGAACGGGUGAGUAAUACGUGAGUCACCUGCCCUUGACUCUGGUAUAUGCCUGGGAAUGUGGGUCUAAUCCUGGAUAAGCCCUGCCACUGCAUGGUGGUGUGUGGAAAGGGUUUUACUGGUUUUGGAUGGGCUCACGGCCUAUCAGCUUGUUGGUGGGGUACUGGCCUACCAAGGCUCCGACGGGUAGCCGGCCUGAGAGGGUGACCGGCCACACUGGGACUGAGACACGGCCCAGACUCCUACGGGAGGCAGCAGUGGGGAAUAUUGCACAAUGGGCGGAAGCCUGAUGCAGCGACGCCGCGUGAGGGAUGACGGCCUUCGGGUUGUAAACCGCUUUCAGCUCUGAAGAAGCGAGAGUGACGGUAAUGGCAGAAGAAGCGCCGGCUAACUACGUG
Molecule: ribosomal RNA, 472 nt
Filed under: uncultured bacterium
Lineage: Bacteria
Description: partial 16S ribosomal RNA
Rfam family: Bacterial small subunit ribosomal RNA
Source: RNAcentral